GGGCGUUUAGCUCAGCUGGCUAGAGCAACUGGUUUACACCCAGUAGGUCCAAGGUUCGAAUCCUUGAGCGCCCA
RNAcentral lists this transfer RNA (74 nucleotides) under Candidatus Moraniibacteriota bacterium. Its description in RNAcentral is "tRNA-Val". It matches the Rfam family "tRNA". Rfam says of the family: Transfer RNA (tRNA) molecules are approximately 80 nucleotides in length. Their secondary structure includes four short double-helical elements and three loops (D, anti-codon, and T loops). Lineage: Bacteria; Candidatus Moraniibacteriota. The record is from RNAcentral.